This 253-nucleotide ribosomal RNA is filed under the name uncultured bacterium. Its description in RNAcentral is "partial 16S ribosomal RNA". It matches the Rfam family "Bacterial small subunit ribosomal RNA", at positions 524 to 776 of the family's 1533-position model. The record is from RNAcentral.
UACGUAGGGGGCAAGCGUUGUCCGGAUUUAUUGGGCGUAAAGAGCGUGUAGGCGGCCUGAAAGGUCAGCUGUGAAAACUCGAGGCUCAACCUCGAGACGUCGGUUGAAACCAUCUGGCUAGAGUCCGGAAGAGGAGUGUGGAAUUCCCGGUGUAGCGGUGAAAUGCGCAGAUAUCGGGAAGAACACCCGUGGCGAAGGCGGCACUCUGGGACGGUACUGACGCGUGAGACGCGAAAGCGUGGGAGCGAACAGG